AUUGAACGCUGGCGGCAGGCCUAACACAUGCAAGUCGAGCGGCAGCGGAAAGUAGCUUGCUACUUUGCCGGCGAGCGGCGGACGGGUGAGUAAUGUCUGGGAAACUGCCUGAUGGAGGGGGAUAACUACUGGAAACGGUAGCUAAUACCGCAUAACGUCGCAAGACCAAAGAGGGGGACCUUCGGGCCUCUUGCCAUCGGAUGUGCCCAGAUGGGAUUAGCUAGUAGGUGGGGUAACGGCUCACCUAGGCGACGAGCCCUAGCUGGUGUGAGGGGAUGACAAGCCACACUGGAACUGAGACCGGGUCCAGAGUCCUACGGGAGGCAGCAGUGGGGAAUAUUGCACAAUGGGCGCAAGCCUGAUGCAGCCAUGCCGCGUGUAUGAAGAAGGCCUUCGGGUUGUAAAGUACUUUCAGCGGGGAGGAAGGUGUUGAGGUUAAUAACCUCAGCAAUUGACGUUACCCGCAGAAGAAGCACCGGCUAACUCCGUGCCAGCCGCCGCCGUAA
RNAcentral lists this ribosomal RNA (506 nucleotides) under uncultured bacterium. Its description in RNAcentral is "partial 16S ribosomal RNA". It matches the Rfam family "Bacterial small subunit ribosomal RNA", at positions 29 to 523 of the family's 1533-position model. The record is from RNAcentral.